This 301-nucleotide ribosomal RNA is filed under the name uncultured bacterium. RNAcentral describes it as "partial 16S ribosomal RNA". It matches the Rfam family "Bacterial small subunit ribosomal RNA", at positions 509 to 807 of the family's 1533-position model. The record is from RNAcentral.
CAGUCGCCAAGGUAAGACAGAGGAUGCAAGCGUUAUCCGGAAUGAUUGGGCGUAAAGCGUCUGUAGGUGGCUUUUCAAGUCCGCCGUCAAAUCCCAGGGCUCAACCCUGGACAGGCGGUGGAAACUACCAAGCUGGAGUACGGUAGGGGCAGAGGGAAUUUCCAGUGGAGCGGUGAAAUGCGUUGAGAUCGAAAAGAACACCAACAGCGAAAGCACUCUGCUGGGACGACACUGACACUAAGAGACGAAAGCUAGGGGAGCAAAUGGGAUUAGAUACCCCCGUAGUCCCUGUCUCUUAUAC